RNAcentral lists this ribosomal RNA (467 nucleotides) under uncultured bacterium. RNAcentral's name for it is "partial 16S ribosomal RNA". It matches the Rfam family "Bacterial small subunit ribosomal RNA", at positions 28 to 506 of the family's 1533-position model. The record is from RNAcentral.
GACGAACGCUGGCGGCGUGCUUAACACAUGCAAGUCGAACGGAAAGGCCCUGCUUUUGUGGGGUGCUCGAGUGGCGAACGGGUGAGUAACACGUGAGUAACCUGCCCUUGACUUUGGGAUAACUUCAGGAAACUGGGGCUAAUACCGGAUAGGAGCUCCUGCUGCAUGGUGGGGGUUGGAAAGUUUCGGCGGUUGGGGAUGGACUCGCGGCUUAUCAGCUUGUUGGUGGGGUAGUGGCUUACCAAGGCUUUGACGGGUAGCCGGCCUGAGAGGGUGACCGGCCACAUUGGGACUGAGAUACGGCCCAGACUCCUACGGGAGGCAGCAGUGGGGAAUAUUGCACAAUGGGCGGAAGCCUGAUGCAGCAACGCCGCAUGCGGGAUGACGGCCUUCGGGUUGUAAACCGCUUUCGCAUGUGACGAAGCGUGAGUGACGGGAAUGGGUAAAGAAGCACCGGCUAACUACGG